Molecule: ribosomal RNA, 253 nt
Filed under: uncultured bacterium
Lineage: Bacteria
Description: partial 16S ribosomal RNA
Rfam family: Bacterial small subunit ribosomal RNA
Source: RNAcentral
UACGGAGGGUGCAAGCGUUAUCCGGAUUCACUGGGUUUAAAGGGUGCGUAGGCGGACAGGUAAGUCAGUGGUGAAAUCUCUGGGCUUAACCCAGAAACUGCCGUUGAUACUAUUUGUCUUGAAUAUCCUGGAGGUAGGCGGAAUAUGUCAUGUAGCGGUGAAAUGCUUAGAUAUGACAUAGAACACCGAUAGCAAAGGCAGCUUACUACAGGAUGAUUGACGCUGAGGCACGAAAGCGUGGGGAGCAAACAGG